Molecule: long non-coding RNA, 4897 nt
Filed under: Sus scrofa (pig)
Lineage: Eukaryota; Metazoa; Chordata; Mammalia; Artiodactyla; Suidae
Description: lncRNA (ENSSSCG00035024624.1)
Source: RNAcentral
UUUUCCUUUUUGGUGGUAUCUUUGUCUGGUUUUGGAAUUAGGGUGAUGUUGGCAUCAUAGAAUGUCUUUGGGAGUGUUUCUUCUCCUUCAGCCUUUUGAAAAAGUUUAAGGAGGAUGGGUAUAAGUUCCCCUUUGUAUGUUUGGUGGAAUUCACCAGUGAAGCCAUCUGGUCCUGGACUUUUAUUUGUAGGGAGUGUUUUUAUGAAAUAUUCAAUUCAUUUCUAGUGACCGGUCUGUUCAGUUGAUCUGUUUCUUCUUGAUUCAGUUUUGGCAGGCUGUAGGUCUCUAGAAAGUUGUCCAUUUCUUCUAGGUUGUCAAAUUUGUUAGCAUACACUUGUUCAUAGUAUUCUCUCAUAGUUUUUUGUAUUUCCGUAGUAUCCAUUGUAAUCGGUACUAUUUUAUUCUCCAUUUUAUGGAUGAGGAAACAAAGACUCAACAAGGUCAAAUGGCUUGCUCAAGGUCACACAGCUAAUAAGAUGUUGAGCUAGGUUUAGAAGGAUUACAUGAUGAGCUGUGCUUUCUUAGACACGAUGUUUUAAAAUUUUUAUUAAAGCAUAGUUGAUUUAUAAUGUUGAUCUUUUAACAAAACCUUUUAAAAUCUAUGUAAAUCGAAUCACGGAUAAGUGUUAGGGAGAGACACUAGAAGGUAUUAAGGGAUGAAAGAGGACUGGAUAAGGACAAAAUAGAGAAAGGGACAAUCCCCAUCUAUACCCAAACCCCCCAGCUCCCCUCCUGGGGAGCAGGAGAAAUAGGAUGCAGUGGACACAGAAAUGCAGGGUUAUGCUGCUUAGUACCCUGGGAAUAGCUGGUCCUGUACAGAGAGAGGCCUCUAAGAGUUCAUGAUGGGUACUAUUUUUAAUGAGUUGGAGAAGGAGAAACACUAUCGGAAAGAACCUGCGUUCAAAGACUCAGGAGAGGAGGGGCCAUGCCCCCCUGUGCUUGCCUGGACCCAUCCUGUCUUCCUGCUUCCUUUUCCCAUGACCCCCUCCCCCUUGCCAUCCCUGUCCUCCUGGCUUCCCUCCCAUUCAGAGCUGGUUGUUCCAGUAACCAACCAUCCCUUGUCUGACAGUAAAGCCUAAAUGUAUUCUUGACAGAGUGCGGUCAAAUCCCUUUACUCUUAGUUUCAAUAAAGUCAAGGUUACUUGAUUGACACCCACUAGAAAGUGCCAGCCUCCCUUUUCUUUUCCAGUUUGAGCUUCAUCUCAGCAUCUUUGCCCAGAUCACACAUUUACUGAGAUGAGAAGAAUGAGCAUUAUGGGAUGAUAUGGUAGGAAGGAAAUUGUUGCUGGAAACAGAAUUAAAAUGAAAAUGAGAAGGAAAAUAUAGGGAUGCAUUAUUAUUUCAAGAGCCCAGAACUGUUCAAGGAAAAAUAUAAAAACAAGUGAUCAUUUUCAAAGGUCUGAAUGAUUUUGUCUUAAACUAGAAGAAGAGUCCUUUCCCCAUCCACUUCUUUCUUCAACUCCAGAAACUGGAUCUUGUGAAAACGCAGACAUUUCAAGGUCACCUCUUAUUGACAAAAGCAGUGGUCAUGGUCUGACAUGCACCUGGGCUGGCACUCCUCUUUUGGUCCCCUUGUCAAGUAAUAAACAGCAUAUGGUGAUAUAUAAUACAUGCGGAGUAUACUGCAUGGUGUAUGUGUGUAUGUAUGCAAAUGUAUGGUGGAUCUGUAAUACCUGUACCAAGUACAUGCCUUUGGGGAGCCAAACUGCAAAAUUAACCAAUACUGCAAUGGGGGUCCUAGGCAUUAACAUUUUUUUAUUAUAAGCAAUGGAGCUUUGUCUCAGAAAAAAGCAGAGAGGAAGCAAGGCUUAAAAUGUGCAGGGCUUCUGGAUCCUAGAAGCCAUAUCCUGGCCCCUGGACUAUUGAAUGUGAAUUCUCCAUUUCCAAAAUAAAGAAGAGCCAACUUUGAGUUCUUGUGAAGGUAAUUUUCAAACUCCUAUCUGACUGGAAACAAUUCCUAACAGCCACCUACCCUCUGCUCUUCAGUACAUUCUGGUUCACGGAGACAGCACGGUGCUUGGCCUGAGGUCUGGUGCAUUUGCUGCAGAAAACCCUCACACUGCAAACAGUUGCUUCUCAAGAUUGUAAAACCGGGACAAUAGUCAGAAAAAGCUGUGUUUUGGUUUGAUUUUUUUUAAAAGGAGGAUGUCCCUGAAAUAGAAGAGUAUGGCUGUCACUUGAUUUACAAUUGAUAGCUGUUUGUGACAGCAAACAGGAUGUCAGGCUCUGUCCCUCUCAGAGGGCGUAUAAAUCACAGGCAGUGCUCUGGCCACCGAACAGCAGCUGAGAGAGACCUGUUCCCCGAGUAGUUGACGAGCAGGAUGAGAUGACCGUUAUCCUUGAAGCUGAAGACAGGCAGGACAAUGCUGAGCAAGGCUGGGAGGAUUUGAAUUCUUUAUCCAAUGACCAACACGAGGCUGGAGCUGAUGCAUCUCAGACACUUUGCAAACCUUCUCCCUUUCUGCCAACCCUUUCUUGUUUCUUAUGCGUCCAUUGGCUUGGCCCCGUGUGUGGUAUAUCUGGACCAAAGCAUUUCCUGUACUUUAAGAGUUCAAAUGAUUUGGCUCCUCGUAAGAUUAUCAUUCCUUGGUUUGUGACUCUCUUCUGUCUCAUACUAGCUGGGCUGCCUGGAGCUCCAUUCUCUGGUGUGGGGUGCUCUCGAGUCCAGUUUUAUGAGCACCAUUAGCCUAGGAGACAAGAAGACAGCCACAAAGAGAAAAAAAAAAAAAAAGCCUUUUCUAUACCAAGGACAUCAUCAGAUAGUAAUUUUUUUUUAAAUGAUCAAAUGAGUAAUUAGUCUUAGAAGUGUUCAGCUUCACCCCACAAGGGAAUGGUCCCAGAAUAGGGCAGGCCUUGUGAGCUUUAUAUUGCAGAUCUUGUGUCUCUUAGAGGAAAAAUGAUUUAAAAAAAAAAUGUUAUAUAAAUUAAACCUUGGUAGUUAUCUCGCCAGAGGUGAUACAUUUGAAAUUUUAAGUCUCUUUUUUUUUUUUAAUCUAAUCACUAUGCAACCGUCGUUUUGUGACCUUAGGCAAAUCACUUAACCUCUCGGUGGCUCACAUUUCCUCUUCUGCCACGCGUGCACAUUGGUGUCAGCAAGCAUGAAAAUGGUCAUGAAACACUUGCAAAAUAUUGAGGGAAGAGAGUGUCUUUCUUUUGUAAGAGGUGGCCACCGAUCUGAAAUUCGGCACAUCGUGGGCCAUGCAGUAAAUGUUUACUGUAUGUAAUGAGGAAUGCAGGAAUGACCCAGCUGUGCUUUGCCAGCGUUCUCAUGCGGGCAGCCUGCCAGCUCCCUAGAGGCAACGUUCUCUUCCUAGAACAUUACCCAGUCACCCCAACUCAGUGGCCUCUGGACCAGUGUUCCCUCCCCACUCCUUCCCUUCGCUUUCCCUUCCUCUCUCUCUCAUUCCCAGGUCCUUCUCAGGAUGCUUCUGUCUGUUCAAUCCGUUGUUGCCCAAACCACUCCCAACUACCACGCCUCUCUCCUUCCACUCCUCAUGCAAAGGAGUCCUUCAGGGCAUGUCCGUGAGGACAAGACAGUCCACAUGGAUGGUCCUUAUGCAAAGAGCCCAGGGAACAAAUAUCAGCGUCAGGCAGUGGUGCCCCAGCUGACCUUCAGUAACAACCCCUCACCAACAACUGACUCAGUAAAGACCAAAGCACAUUUUUCAAACACGCAACAUUCGUGACCUCCAGUGACACUUCUGGAAUAGGUGAUCACAUGGACAAGAGAAAAGAGAAAAGUUCUUUGGGCUCCAGGGGACCUGUAAUUCGCUGCUUCAUAAAACUUAAUGAACAUCCCAGGGGGCAAGUUAGCCUGUGGUGUUGUGUGGACACAACCUCAAAGUCCGUUUUAGGCUCUAUAAGGCUUCUCCCAGUCUUAGUUUCCAGAGCAAAACAAUGGGAUUAUUGUUAUUUUAAAACAAUUGAAACAAUUCCUUUCUUUUUGUGGCUAAUUGGUUAAUUCUUCCUUGAAUAGUCAAAUAUUCACAGAGUCUCCUGGUUACAGUUAUAGCCUUCAUGUCCCAUUUGAGCUUAAAUUCCAAACUUCCACACACUCGGAAGAAAGGACAAAAAUAGUAGAACAGCAUCGGCCAAACAGAGGCGGCUUUGUGGGCAAUAUAAUGGGAGUAAAUUUCUAAACAGACAGGAAAGCCGACCAACUACAGAGGCCUGACCAUGUCACUCUUUGGCUCCGACACAAAGUCUGGGCUGAAAUGUCUCCCAGGACGUAAUAGGCUGGCAGCUGCAAGAGCUCCAGUGAGGCAACGAGAGGAUGGAAUCAGAGCUGCCGGGCUGGAAGGAAACACUGAUCUGUGUGCUGAAACCGAGGGCUUGGGAAGUGACCAAAACGAAAUGCUUUGCCUGUGAGCAAGAGCCCUUCCAGAGCCGGAAAGAAAGGUUUUGAUGCUUGGUAUUCAGGAAAUAGGGACCUGGUUUGGUAGGUCACUUAACUGGCACCACCAAAAACCAGAUUGCAUUCUUUCUUUUAGUUCAAAAAGGGCACAAGCAUUUCAGCACUGAGAUAUUUUUAAAAUGCCUCUUUCUCACUAGUUCAGUCUUAAAUUCCUUUGCGUGGUUUUUUUUUUUUUUAAAGACUAAUUUUCAGGAAUCUACCCUCUUUCCCACUGAUCUUAAAUAAAAAUGCUCUGGAAACCACAAAGAGAGUGUAGAAAAGGCACACCAAGGUCCGAAUUGCCUCAGCUCUAAAGGGGCACCCGUCCUUACACACAGACAAUGUUGUAUGGCAAUUAUACCUCAGUAAAAAUGGGAAAAGAUGCUUGUGGAUUAAAGGAUCAGGCGUUACCACUGGGGCUCAUAUUCAGUCCUUGGCCUGGGAACUUCCAUAUGCCCAGGGUACGGCCAUUAAAAAAGAAAAAGAAAAUAAAAGAGUGAUUCU